This is a small nucleolar RNA of Dioscorea cayenensis subsp. rotundata (Guinea yam), 107 nucleotides long. The record is from RefSeq and is a predicted model, not a curated record. NCBI's taxonomy places the organism in Eukaryota, Viridiplantae, Streptophyta, Magnoliopsida, Dioscoreales, Dioscoreaceae.
AACCUAUGAUGGGGGCACCGCCUAAGAAUAUCCUUAAACCAUUCAUGUGCCUCUAACAAAGUUUCUGACUCUCCUUGCUUAAAUGUUGAGAUUUCUUAUCUGAUCUU